This 146-nucleotide ribosomal RNA is filed under the name uncultured eukaryote. Its description in RNAcentral is "partial 18S ribosomal RNA". It matches the Rfam family "Eukaryotic small subunit ribosomal RNA", at positions 1299 to 1458 of the family's 1831-position model. The record is from RNAcentral.
UGGUGGAGUGAUUUGUCUGGUUAAUUCCGUUAACGAACGAGACCUCAGCUUGCUUUAUAGUGUUGCUAAUGCGCUUGCAUUGGUAUUUUUCACACUUCAAAGAGGGACAUUCCGAGUUUAUCGGAAGGAAGUUUGAGGCAAUAACA